UGCAGGGAGGGCUCGGCUCGGCGCUGCUGCGGAGUGGAAGACUGCUGCUCGCCUGCCCUUCUCUGUUGUCUCGGCUCAAAGCGGCACGAUUUGAUAGUCUUACCCGGCUCUCUCCAGCUAAACAGUCUGCAGGACCCUAAAGACGCAGAGGGAAGGAUUUAGAAGAGCGGCUGUGCAAUGGUGAACAGAUUCAUCCCCAGGCACCCAAUCCAUUAUCCUGUCAACAACAGCAGGUCCCUGCCACAGUAGCAGCAACACUGGCCGUAAUGAAAUCAUCAGUAAUCCCAAAACUCAUCUCUUCAUACCAAGGUAAAAGUGCUUAUCUUUUCUUGAACUGUAUGAUAACAUGACAAAACAGUUAAGCAACAGGCGGUGGACCUCAGUGGAAGACACAUGCUCUAGUCUUCAACAGUGAAUUACCUGUAGUAGCUACAUUUCCCUGCAGGUAAUGGAAUUUGACUUAAGAAAAUCAAAGAAAUGGAUAUAUGGAUUUUCAGUGAGUCAUUUUUACACUGUCAAAUGCUAAAACCAUUUGA
Sinocyclocheilus grahami is the source of this 536-nucleotide long non-coding RNA. RefSeq lists it as uncharacterized. The transcript is spliced from 3 exons. Lineage: Eukaryota; Metazoa; Chordata; Actinopteri; Cypriniformes; Cyprinidae. The record is from RefSeq and is a predicted model, not a curated record.